Suricata suricatta (meerkat) is the source of this 6954-nucleotide RNA transcript. It is a transcript of the gene named establishment of sister chromatid cohesion N-acetyltransferase 1, with no coding region annotated. Lineage: Eukaryota; Metazoa; Chordata; Mammalia; Carnivora; Herpestidae. The record is from RefSeq and is a predicted model, not a curated record. The transcript is spliced from 16 exons.
GGUCCCGGCAGGGGUGAAAAACUGCAUGACACGCCAGCGAACGUGGCGGCCAUCUUCCUCUUCUGGGGACGUCAGCCGAGCCAGUUACUGCUGGAGAGGAGCGUUGCGCAAGCGCGCCUCAGACGGUCACAGGUAACUCCCAUCUGACGGGCGAGGCGUCGCCGUCGUCGCCGGAAGUUUGGCGUAUCUGCGCCGCGGGAGAGGCGGCGGUCGCGACAGAAGCGGCUGUCUCCUGAUACCCGGAUGUGAGGCGAUCCGCUGGCUCGUAUUGGACCCUCUGCCAAGAGUAAGGAAGUUACAGGAUUUUUUUAAGUUAAUCCCCAAACACAAGAAGUUAUUAGAAGCAUCAUUCAUUGGAAAUAUCAUCAGUCAAUUUAAAGAAAAAGUGAUAUGUGAUUUGUUUCAAUAAGUGAAAAACUGUAAACUUUGAAUAACACCAUGGGACCCAUACAGAGUGCUGCUAGUGAUGCUGCAAGUGCUCCCAAGAAGCAGGGAAAAGUCAUGAGAUUAUAAGAAAAAGUUGAAUUGCUUGAUAAGUACCAUUGAUUGAGGCCUGCAGCUACAGUUGCCCUCCAAUUCAAGCCUACUCAGUGUGAAGAGUGAAAACAAGGAUGAAGACAUUUAUGAUGAUCCACUUCUAUUUAAUUGAUAGUAAAUAAUCAUCAUGCCAUACAAUUAAUAAACUUAUCUGUUGUAUGUGUGUCUUCGUGUGAAAAUCUAAUAACUUAUGACAAGAACUGUAUGAGACGUUUUUCUUUCAUCAUCAUCAUCAUCAUCAUUGCUUAAGUAUUCAUCGUAUAGAAAAUCAUGUACAAGACUUGUGUAGAAGUGGAUAGCUUAUCCUUACUUAGGCAUAAGGUGCUGUGUAAUGUGUUAAGAGGAUAUUUUAAGGAAUGAUUUUGUCAAAUUUUCAUGAGUUAUGGUGGCUGAAAGAUCAGUUCUAUCUUGUGGGAAAAGAAUUAAAUGGCAGCACAAAAGGAAAUCUAUGUUAAUAGAGUAUUUUAUUAAACGAAAAAGGUUAGAUAAGAACUUUAAACUAACAGUCUCAGUAAACAAAGAAAGAAACCUGUUAGCUGUAAGAGAUGUUUCAAAUGAAUCAAAGUCUAAUAACUGUAGACUUCAGAAGAAAAAAGUUUUCAAAAUCUUUGUCAAAACAGGUCAGUGAUAAAUAACUCCUCCAGUAAUAGGGCUAGGCCUGAAAACCAUUAUUAAUUAAAAAAUUAACAAAACAGUUUGAAACUGAAUUAAGUUUUUUCAUAAAAAAUUGUAUAUCAAAUUAGAAUUAAAUUUUCUUCAAAAUUCUAUUGCCUUGCCCAAAAGUCAAGCAAAUAUCUUUCAGCCUUCAUACCAGCUUUUCUCAUGUCUUAGGGAUGACUGAAACAUUAUUUGAAGCAAACUAGUAGUUUUAUUGAAAAUGUACAUCAGCCACAAAGUUGAUUUUUAAGACCUUCUCAGAAUAAUACCAGACAUUCAGCAUUUGCAUCUACCAGGACACGAAAAUCCUCUCAAAAACUACUGCGAAAAGGAGGACCUUACUCAGGAAUGAUGUCCAUUCAAGAGAAGUCAAAAGAAAAUUCCUCCAGUGUUAUUAAAAAAAGUGAAGAUAAGAAUUUAGAAACACAAAUUCAAGGUUCUCAGACGAAUCUGGCAAAAAAAUCAGGCCCAAAGGAAACUAUUAAAUCACUGGUUAAAUCUUCUAGUGAGAGUAAAAUAAAUCAGUCUGAAUUAGGAACAUGCAUGAGUACAAGGUCAUCAAAAGCUGCAUCCAGUGAUAAAAAAGCUAGCAAGUCCAUUAAUAAAAAUAUGGUGACUCUGAAGGGACAUUCACAACAAGAAUCUACAAAAAAGAAAAAAUUACCUCAGAAAAAGUCAGUGCAUGGAACUCCUAAAUCAAAUGAACAGCUUAACCGGAGGUCACAAAGACUUCAACAGUUAACAGAAGUUUCAACGAGGUCUCUGCGUAAUAGAGAAAUUCAGGGUCAAGUUCAAGCAGCUAAGCAGAGUUUGCCACCAAGAAAAGAGCACUGUAACAAUACUCAAAGUAAAUCUAAUAAAGUUAAAACAAGUCAAAAACAUGUGAAAAGAAAAGUACUGGAAAUAAAGUCUGACACUAAAGAGGAUGAAAAUCUCGUAAUUAACGAAGUAAUAAAUUCCCCCAAAGGAAAAAAACGCAAAGUAGAGCAUCAGACAGCUUAUACUUGUAGUUCUCAGUGCAUGAAAGGAUCUGAGAAGUGUCUUCAGAAGAAUACUAGAAAAGAGGAAACAAAAUCUGUACCUGUAACUUCUGAGCUAAAAAGAUCAAAAACAGUUACUUCAGCAGUCUCUAAAAAGAAUGAGAUGAAGAAGUCAGUUCACACACAAGUGAAUAUUAGUGCAAAAUCCCAAAAAAGUCCACAGCCAUCAGUGCCUGAACAAAGUGUAGACAGUGAGCUGGAACAAGCAGGAAAGAGCAAACGGGGUAGCAUUCUCCAGCUCUGUGAAGAAAUUGCUGGUGAAAUUGAGUCAGAUACUGUAGAGGUAAAAAAGGAAUCUUCACAAAUGGAAAGUGUAAAGGAGGAGAAGCCUACAGAAAUAAAAUUGGAAGAGGCUAAUAAUGAAAGACAAAUACUUCAUCAGAAGGAAACAAGUCAGGAUGUUCAAUGCAAUCGUUUCUUCCCCAGUAGAAAAACAAAGCCUGUGAAAUGUAUAUUAAAUGGAAUAAACAGUUCAGCUAAAAAGAACUCCAAUUGGACUAAAAUUAAACUCUCAAAAUUUAACUCUGUGCAGCAAAACAAGUUGGACUCUCAAGUUUCCCCUAAAUUGGGCUUAAUACAAACCAGUUUUUCACUACCAGCCUUAGAAAUGCAUCAUCCAGCAACUCAAAGUAUAUUUUUAGGAACAAAACCACAUGAUGAUAAAAAUAUAGCUUGCCAGCAGGAAGAAAUUAAGGAAAUUAAUUCUAAAGAAGUUAAAGUUAAUGAUGUUACAGUUGAAAUUAAUAAAACCACAAAAAGGGCCUCUGAAAAUUGUCAUUUGGAUAAUCAGAUAAAACCACCCCCUGACCCACCGUUGGAUAACCAGAUGAAAGAUUCUUUUGAAUCAACACCAGAUAAGAAUUUCAGUCUAUGUUUGGAAUCCAAGCUUCAAAACAAUCUUGUGGGAAAUACCUCUACUGUUUCAGCUUCGCUCAGUCAAGCAAAAAUUGAUACAGGAGAGAAUAAAUUUCCAGGUUUGGCUCCCAAACAACACACUAUACUCAGUAACCAAACAUCUCAGACCAGUGAUAACAGGGAGACACCACCAAAUCAGUCUUGGCCUAAAUGUAAUUCCCACUUGGAGAUAACAAUUCCAAAGGACUUGAAACUAAGAGAAGCAGAAAAAGUUGAUCAAAAACAGUUGAUCAUAGAUGCAGGACAAAAAAGAUUUGGAGCAGUUUCCUGUAAUGUUUGUGGCAUGCUCUACACAGCUUCAAAUCCAGAAGAUGAAACACAGCAUCUGCUCUUCCACAACCAAUUUAUAAGUGCUGUAAAAUAUGUGGGUUGGAAAAAAGAAAGAAUUCUGGCCGAAUAUCCUGAUGGCAGGAUAAUAAUGGUACUUCCUGAGGACCCAAAGUAUGCUCUGAAAAAGGUUGACGAGAUUAGAGAGAUGGUUGAUAAUGACUUAGGUUUCCAACAGGCUCCACUAAUGUGCUAUUCCAGAACUAAAACACUUCUCUUUAUUUCUAAUGACAAAAAAGUAGUUGGCUGCCUAAUUGCAGAACAUAUCCAGUGGGGCUACAGAGUUAUAGAAGAGAAACUUCCAGUUAUCAGGUCAGAAGAAGAAAAAGUCAGAUUUGAAAGGCAGAAAGCCUGGUGCUGCUCAACAUUGCCAGAGCCUGCAAUCUGUGGGAUCAGCCGGAUAUGGGUAUUCAGCAUGAUGCGUCGGAAGAAAAUUGCUUCUCGCAUGAUUGAAUGCCUGAGGAGUAAUUUUAUAUAUGGCUCAUAUUUGAGUAAAGAAGAAAUUGCUUUCUCAGAUCCCACUCCUGAUGGAAAACUCUUUGCAACACAGUACUGUGGCACUGAAGCUUACACGUGGCGGCCAGUGAGAAAGUAGAGGGGCUUGUCGUCACUGCUGUUCGCAGUUUGAAACUCGUCCCGGAGGCGGAACUGCCACUCAUCCUCCAGCUCUAAGCGGACAAUUGUUUGGCGUAAGGAGCUUCUGUCUUGGCAGAUGACACACAGGGUAGCACCUUCAGAAAAAAGGGCAGAAGUGCAUCUUAGGUUCAGGGGUUGAAUUAUGAAGAGCCUACCAUCUUUUCUGAUUAGGCCCUCUAAGCUGGCACAUCUGAGAACCCACAUGGGAAACAAUGGCAUUCACAAACUAAAGACACUGAAUUUGGAUUACCUUUGAGAAACUUAAAUUUCUUCAGAAGAUCAGCACCUACAAAAGAGUCACAGAGGUACAAGAGAAGUCCACUGAAAAACACCCCUUCACAGUUGACAUUGCUGGAGUGGGGUCUGGAGCUGAUGUAGCAUAUGGCCACCUGGAAUCAUCAAGCAGACAGCAUGUGCAUUUCAAAAAAUAGGCAAAACAUCUGCACUUUAGCUGAAUGAGUCGGUACCUUUCUAUUUAGCUAUUUCAGGGUAAGGUGAAGGACAUUAAAUUUUUUUAAUUGAAAUUUAAAUAGGUUGGCUAUUUAAACUCUGCACCUCUUUUAUUUAGUGUGCCAAGUUUUAACCUAUUUAAAUCUGGUUUCUCUUAAUAAAGGACAGUUAGGAGAGAAUCAGUAGUAAGAAACAAAACAGGCCUCUCCAACCUAAACAUCUUUGUAAAAUAAAAAAUAAAUUGCCUUCCACAAAAAGGCACACUUAGGAUGAAAUGUUUAGAUUAAAUUUUUCUUCUCAGCAAUAAAGUAAUCAGCUUUCAUUUAAAUACACUUAAGUUUCCAGACAGAAGCUUCAAGCAGUGCAUAAUUUUAAAUAGUUUUAUAUGGCUUUCAUGUAGGGAAGACAGGUUUACAAAAAUUACAGGGAAGUAAGAUAGUUGGGAGACCUUGAGACCAGGGGCGUGGCUUACUGUUGGCACCUGACCGCUGGGAUCCAGCCACUGGUUCCUCUCUCUGUAGCUGGGGAACCCUUCAUUUUACCGUACCUCAGUUUCCCAGUCUGGUGCAAUAACAGUAGUCCCUGUUUCCUGGGGCUGUUUUGUGAAAUAAAUACUGUAAACCCCUUAGUAGGUAUUCAUUGUUAGCUGCUGUUAGUAUUAGUAGUGUUGAGACUGUGUUGUCUAACAUCUAGAGCCUUGCACCCUGGGGUAGAAGAGUCUGGAGGCCGGGGUUAGACACAUGGCUUACAGGGAUACUAUAAAAAGCACUAUUACUAUUACACUUGAUGGUUUUUAAGGUACCUCUUGUCUCUAAAAUUCUACAAAUCAUGGUGUAGAUUACAUUUUCAUUCUUAGGAAAUUUCAGUAAAAUGUUUAUACUGCUUGAUUUAAGUCCAUUUCCAGAAUUCAGUUGGAUUUCAGCCUGAAGAUACUGUAUGUCAGUACAUACAAAGAAAAAAGCCUAAAAGGAUACAGUACACCAAAAUGUCACUGUUCCCAUUACAAGGCAUUUUUUUCUUUAUACCUUUUAAAUUCUUCACAAAGAGGAUAUUAUGUUGACAAAAUUAAAUAUUUUUAAAAUAUUACUAAUAAUUGUAGGGAGAAGCUUCAUGGCAGAGCCCGUAAAGUCUUGAAGGCCAUCAGUGGUCAAAGGUACAAGUGGCAAAUUUUUUAAAAAGCUAACACUGAUGAGGAAUUUGAGACAAGAAAGAAUGCACAGUGAGGAAACAAUGUCAAAGAAAGAAAUCCCGGAAUGAGAAGUGGUGAAGUGACAGCUACACAGGUCUCCUGUGAUACCCUGAAUUGUCCAGCCAUCCCUUAGCUUCUCUUUUGCCUAAAACAGUGGCUGAGACACUGUGUGCCUCUGAAGAACUGGUCUUGUGGAGAAACGUCAUCACAUGAUUAUAAUAUGGUCUGAUACAUUUUAGGACAGCAAGCAACUGCUUCUGGCCACACAGUCACUAGGUGGGCUGGGUGGAACUGACCUCUGACUAAGCUUGGCAUAUUGACUGGCUCACUGUGGAGAGCGGAAGUGGGGGUGGGGAGGGAGUUGCCAUCACAUCUUGUGUGAGCCUUUGCGGUACGAGUAUGUCACAGGCUCCUUUUUUGGUCUUCAUUUAAGCUUUCAAAUGGGAGGUAAAAGGGGAAAGAAAUGGAUGGAAAUGGGUAAAAGCACAGCAUUCGCCCUGGUCCCCUUACCUCUGGUCCAAUGUUAAGGUAGCAGUCAAUGGCCAACACGGGACUCUUGAAGUUGUGGAUAGCUUUGGGGAAGAGUUUGUAGGAAGCAUGCUGAAGGAACUUCUCCAGGAGAAACUGCGCAGGGGCUGCCAAUAGUGUGUGUUCACUGUCCGGAGCACAGACAUACUGAAGGGGCAAGAUGGGUGCUAAGCUCUCUGACACCUGAAAUCAGAUCCGAGAUUAUCAUGGGAAAUGUGUCUGUCCCUGGAUGAAACGGGCAAAGAAAAACGGCAUUGCAUACUAACAGCCCCCAAAUAGUAGGAGCACGGUGACAAAUGCUAGGCUCAGAGGCUAGUUUGUCAUUCUUGGGUUCUGGAAAACUUUUCCUCCUCUUGGGAAUAGGUCGGGUCUCACUUAACACACAGCAAGGACAGAAGAAAAUAGAAAUGUAGGCUUCUUUGACAGUUACUGCACUUAGCAACAUUGUGAGGACCAACAGGAACCCUUUCACAGUGCUGCUGGGUGUGGAUGGGUUAAAUUUCAUCCCAGCACAUCCACAAAAUAAAAGUAAAUUGGUUUUCUAAGCUUCACUGUGGAGUUCCAUGUUAUAAAUUAUUAGAUACCAGUAAAUCUCUCAAACAGAAAAGGGUAUGCGCCCAUGGAAUUCACCCUCAAAAGAUGUUGAUUGGUCUUAACUUCUUAAAAAAAAAAAAA